This 271-nucleotide ribosomal RNA is filed under the name uncultured bacterium. RNAcentral describes it as "partial 16S ribosomal RNA". It matches the Rfam family "Bacterial small subunit ribosomal RNA", at positions 793 to 1055 of the family's 1533-position model. The record is from RNAcentral.
GUCCACGCCGUAAACGAUGUACACUAGACUGGUGCGGUUUUGACGCCGUAUCAGUCGCAGUAAAAACGAUAAGUGUACCGCCUGGGGAGUACGGUCGCAAGGCUAAAACUCAAAUGAAUUGACGGGGGGCUCACACAAGCGGUGGAGCAUGUUGCUUAAUUCGAGGCAACGCGAAGAACCUUACCUGGGCUUGACAUGUACGUAUUAACCCUAUGAAAGUAGGGCCACAGUCGCAAGACCGGAACGUGCACAGGUGCUGCAUGGCUGUCGU